RNAcentral lists this long non-coding RNA (2030 nucleotides) under Macaca fascicularis (crab-eating macaque). RNAcentral's name for it is "lncRNA (ENSMFAG00000059162.1)". The record is from RNAcentral. Lineage: Eukaryota; Metazoa; Chordata; Mammalia; Primates; Cercopithecidae.
UUUAGUAGGGACAGGGUUUCACUGUGUUAGCCAAGAUGGUCUCGAUCUCCUGACCUCGUGAUCUGCCCGCCAUGGCCUCCCAAAGUGCUGGGAUUACAGGAAUGAGCCACCGCGCCCAGCCUGAAUGGUCAUCUUAAAGCGAAUUUGAAAUUCUGAAUGGCCACCCACAUUUAGUGGCUUUCUUGAGGUAUAAUUUCCAUGUCAUGAAAAUUAUCCAUUUUAAGCAUACAAUUCCACACAUUUUCAUACAAUUUAUACACAACUAUCACCAGGAACAUUUCCAUCACCCAAACUGUUCUGCUGUGCCUGUUUAAAACCAAUCUCCAUGCUGCCACCCCACACCCAGGCAAAGCACUGAUCUGAUCUAAGGUUUGCCUGUUGUAAAAGUUUCAUAUCAUGGUAUCAUACAAUACAGAGCCCUUUCACUUGGUAUAAUGUUUCUGAGCUUCAACCAUAUUGUAGUAUGUACCUGUGCCAUGAAUCAGAAUUUUAUUCCUUUUCGUGGCUGAUAUGGACAUACCAAAUUUUGUUUAUCUAUUCACCAGUUGAUGGAUUUGGAUUGUUUCCAGUUUUUGUCUACUGUGAAUAGUAUGAACAUCUGUUUGCUUUUUGAAUGGGCAUAGUUUUUACAACUUUACUGAGUUACUGUUGAUAUACAAUAAAUUGCACAUAUUUAAAUAUACAAUUUGAUGAGUUUUGACAUACGUAUACACCCAUGAAAUCAUCAUGCAUAAUCAAAUAAUGAAUAUAUACAUCACCCCCAAAUGUUUCAUUGUGCUCUUUCCUUUGGAAUCCCUUUCUCCCUCCUCUCCCAAGCCAUCCUCUGAUCUGCAGGCACUGAUCUACUGUCACUACAGAUUAGCUUGCAUUUUCUAGAAUUUCACCUAAAUGGAAUCAGUAUGCUAUUUUGUAGGGAAAGGUGUCUGGCUUCUUUCACAUAGCAUACUAUUAUUUUGCAAUGCAUACAUGUCACUGUACCUAUCAACAGUCCAUUCCUUUUCAUUACUGAGUAUUAUUCCACUCUACAGAUAUACCACAAUUUGCUUAUCCAUUCAUCUGCUGACAGACACAUACAUUAGUUUCAAUUUUCAAUCACAGCUAAAGCUGCUGUUCUAACCACAUCAGACCAGUUUGGUUCCUCUCUUCUGUAACAAAGUUGUGAGUUGUUUUUCAGUUGCCAUGGGCCCCCAGGUUGAACAUCAUGUAACCUAAGCAUGUCCAGAUGAACCAAGCAUGCAACUAGGGACAACCUAAAUGUUCCAACCAAGGAGAGGGGAUUGAAUUAAGAAGUGGAGGCCAGGUGUGGUGGCUCAUGCCUCUGAACGCUGUGAUUUCUUAACUGCAAUCUUUACCCACACUUCAAAUUGAGUCUCUCAUGUCUGAUAAAACAGCAGCUCGACAAUACUGAGAUAGUGGGCAAGGAGACAGAAGAAGCCCCCCAUGCGAGAAGGCCACAACCCCUAUUCUUCAUAUCCAAAGAUUCAGUGUAUCAAUAACGCUUCUCAAUUUAUCAUCUGCCUUUUUGGUAGGUUUCCAGGGCCCAGAAACGAUCAUUUUGGACAAUCUCACCCAGUUUUACGCUUGUUUUAUUCAGAAAGAGAAUCACCUCUUCACAUCACCAUUAAGGGAAGUGAUCUUGGCUACUCAUUUUUAAUUUCUCAAUUUUUCACAGCAUAAAGUAUGAUGAUAAUACAAAAAUGAAGCAUGACUAUAAUUCAACUCCAAGUAUCAAAUAUAGAAAUGCUUUCAAAGUCUGAUAGAAAAUUUAUCAUCAGAACGUGAAUAUUUUCUAUUAAGAGAGUGGCUCAUCCACAUAGUAACAGCAAGAUAACAUUACAUUAAAGUACCAAAAUAGCCAGUUGAGUAACUUUGAGACUCCUAGAAGAUGAACUGAUUGAUUGCUUGGACCUCAGCUGUGGCUUGACCGCAGAACUCUGAGAUCACCCAAACACGAUCGAUUCUGUGGUGUAUUAACAAAGUCUGACGUAGGCAAAAAGCAAAUUCUUGCAGUUCUAUUAGUAAGAUUAUGU